RNAcentral lists this ribosomal RNA (497 nucleotides) under uncultured bacterium. RNAcentral describes it as "partial 16S ribosomal RNA". It matches the Rfam family "Bacterial small subunit ribosomal RNA", at positions 28 to 507 of the family's 1533-position model. The record is from RNAcentral.
GAUGAACGCUGGCGGCGUGCCUAAUACAUGCAAGUCGAGCGAACAGACGAGGAGCUUGCUCCUCUGACGUUAGCGGCGGACGGGUGAGUAACGCGUGGAUAACCUACCUAUAAGACUGGGAUAACUUCGGGAAACCGGAGCUAAUACCGGAUAAUAUAUUGAACCGCAUGGUUCAAUAGUGAAAGACGGUUUUGCUGUCACUUAUAGAUGGAUCCGCGCCACAUUAGCUAGUUGGUAAGGUAACGGCUUACCAAGGCAACGAUGCGUAGCCGACCUGAGAGGGUGAUCGGCCACACUGGAACUGAGACACGGUCCAGACUCCUACGGGAGGCAGCAGUAGGGAAUCUUCCGCAAUGGGCGAAAGCCUGACGGAGCAACGCCGCGUGAGUGAUGAAGGUCUUCGGAUCGUAAAACUCUGUUAUUAGGGAAGAACAAAUGUGUAAGUAACUAUGCACGUCUUGACGGUACCUAAUCAGAAAGCCACGGCUAACUACGUG